This 609-nucleotide ribosomal RNA is filed under the name uncultured Methanosaeta sp. RNAcentral's name for it is "bacterial SSU rRNA". It matches the Rfam family "Archaeal small subunit ribosomal RNA", at positions 83 to 696 of the family's 1478-position model. The record is from RNAcentral. Lineage: Archaea; Methanobacteriati; Methanobacteriota; Methanomicrobia; Methanotrichales; Methanotrichaceae.
CGGCUCAGUAACACGUGGAUAACCUACCCUUGAGACGGGGAUAAACCCGGGAAACUGGGUAUAAUACCCGAUAGAUCUCGACUGCUGGAAUGCAUCGAGCUUGAAAGCUCCGGCGCUCAAGGAUGGGUCUGCGGCCUAUCAGGUAGUAGUGGGUGUAGCGUACCUACUAGCCUACGACGGGUACGGGUUGUGAGAGCAAGAGCCCGGAGAUGGAUUCUGAGACACGAAUCCAGGCCCUACGGGGUGCAGCAGGCGCGAAAACUUUACAAUGCUGGAAACAGCGAUAAGGGGACCUCGAGUGCCAGGUUACAAAUCUGGCUGUCGUGAUGCCUAAAAAGCAUUGCAUAGCAAGGGCCGGGCAAGACCGGUGCCAGCCGCCGCGGUAACACCGGCGGCUCGAGUGGUAACCGUUAUUAUUGGGUCUAAAGGGUCUGUAGCCGGCCGGAUAAGUCUCUUGGGAAAUCUGGCAGCUUAACUGUCAGGCUUUCAGGAGAUACUGUCUGGCUCGAGGCCGGGAGAGGUGAGAGGUACUUCAGGGGUAGGGGUGAAAUCUUGUAAUCCUUGAAGGACCACCAGUGGCGAAGGCGUCUCACCAGAACGGACCUGACG